RNAcentral lists this small RNA (394 nucleotides) under Arabidopsis thaliana (thale cress). RNAcentral's name for it is "ATSL067360". Lineage: Eukaryota; Viridiplantae; Streptophyta; Magnoliopsida; Brassicales; Brassicaceae. The record is from RNAcentral.
UUAAAAUCCCUUGUAAAUUUUUCAAAACACUUUUAAACCCUUUAAAAAUCUUUACAAAUCUUUUGUAAAUCUUUUAAAGCCCUUUAAAAUCUCUUGUACAUAUUGUAAAACCCUUUUAAAAUCCCUUAUAAAUAUUUUAAAAUCAUUUUAAAACAAUUUUAAACCCUUUAAAAAUCUUUAAAAGACCUUUGUAAAUCUUUAAAAACCUUUUAAAAUUCCUUGUAAAUCACCCUUUUUAAAUCCCUUGUAAAUCUUAUAAAAUCCCUUUAAAAUCUCUUGUAAAUCUUUUAAAACUCUUUUAAAAUUCCUUGUGAAUCUAUUUCCCGCCAAAAAAAAAAAAAUUGGCGGGAAAUUUGUUUCGAAAAUUUUUGGCAGGAAAAUAUCGGCGGGAAAU